Non-coding RNA from Caenorhabditis elegans, 144 nucleotides. NCBI's taxonomy places the organism in Eukaryota, Metazoa, Nematoda, Chromadorea, Rhabditida, Rhabditidae. The record is from Ensembl.
UGGGCGGCUCUUCUCUUUGAUGUGUCCUGAAGGAUCCAUGUUGGAAGAGCGCGGCGCCCCUCUCCUACACACCUCCUACUUCUUCCGCGCGCGCAAAUAACGAUCCAUCGACAACUGGUUCAAUAAAAAGUGGUAAUAAAUAAA